UACGGGGGGAGCAAGCGUUGUUCGGAUUUACUGGGCGUAAAGCGCGUGUAGGCGGUCGUGCAAGUCGGGUGUGAAAGCCCUGGGCUCAACCCAGGAAGUGCAUUCGAUACUGCGCGACUGGAGUCCCGGAGAGGAUGGUGGAACUCUCGGUGUAGAGGUGAAAUUCGUAGAUAUCGAGAAGAACACCGGUGGCGAAGGCGGCCAUCUGGACGGUGACUGACGCUGAGGCGCGAAAGCUAGGGGAGCAAACAGG
Molecule: ribosomal RNA, 253 nt
Filed under: uncultured bacterium
Lineage: Bacteria
Description: partial 16S ribosomal RNA
Rfam family: Bacterial small subunit ribosomal RNA
Source: RNAcentral